This is a long non-coding RNA of Oncorhynchus tshawytscha (Chinook salmon), 7107 nucleotides long. Lineage: Eukaryota; Metazoa; Chordata; Actinopteri; Salmoniformes; Salmonidae. The record is from Ensembl.
CCCAAUUAAAUUGAACACUCUGUCCACUCCUAAGAAUUUGUAAGACUCUUAUUUGCAUAAAAUGGACAGAGACCAGUCUCAAAAUCAAUCUGUAGCGUUUAUUCUCGAGAGUACUGAACACGAUACAGUUUACCACAGGUUAUAAACUGAAAAUGACGUCAUUAGUUUUCGAACUGUCCCGUCUCUUCUCCCACCCUGGUACAAAGGCAGUAUCUCAAGCCUUCCCACAUCGUCCCACACCAAUUUAAUAUAAUUUAUGACAGAGCCAAGGUCUUCCUGUGUAGAUAAGCAUUCUAGCCAGUCUGACGAUAAGUUCAUUCAUUUCUACCUAGGAACAGACAGUCAUUGUUCUAAUUCUUAAUGAUAUAUACACACAUUAUAUUCAGUACUAGGAUUAAAAGAAAAUUCAUACAUCUAUACAGUAACAUAAUAGUAUUCUGAUUAUUCAGUCCUGAUUGAAAUGUAUACAUAAUUAGUCAUUAUUGAUAAAAAAUCCCUUAACAUAUCCACACUAUGAUUAAAUAUUAUACAUCCAAGCACACAUCUAGUUAUAUUAAAAUAUUAAAAAGCAUACAUCUAUUUUUAUCAGAAAUAUUUAUUGUUAUCAAAAUACCACCUAACAUAAACCAAUUCUUGCAUUCACAUUGACUGUUUUAGGCCAACAUCAGAAUCAUAACCCUUCUCAUCAGAAUUUUCGUUACAAUCUUCAUCGAAACAAGAUACAACCUAACAUCUCUAAAUAUCAAAAUGCUCUUAUCAAAAACAUAAGUUCCUCGCAUAUGAAAAAUUUGGAUUCAUUAAUCUAUUUAGGUUUGAGGCAUGUAUUCAUCCUUCCACUGGUCAAAUCUUGGAAUCAGUCCGUAUCGCACCAUCUAUUUUCUCAUUGAUUUCUCCAGAGUCCUGGAAAUGAGACCUCAUACACAGGGAAUUAGACAAUAGCCACAAAACUAAAACAGUCACACAGGUGAAGGUAGCCCUUAACACAGUGAUCAUAACAUUUUUCCAUUUUCCAAACAUACUAUCAAACCAAUUAGUCAAAGAAGUAUCCACCCCAGAGUUUUCUGCCAACUCGUGAGCCAGGGUGGUCAAACCAGCUGAGGCUUUGGUCACUGAUUCAUCUGGAGCUGUGCCAUCGAGGAACAAACCAUCUCCACCCACUCUCACCCUUUCCAGCCAACAAAUAUAUCCAAGAUUAAUUCUAUUCCGCCAAGUCAUUCAUUACAUCUCUGGUAUAAUUGACGAAGCGCUGUGGAUUAUCCUAAAUAUAAUUGAUCCAGUUCACAUUCUUAUUUGAGUGUGGACCACUAGAAAAUACUUAACUCUAAUCCUGCUACGAUCUGAUUUCUUGCUUUGAACUCAUCUGGUAAUCCCCGUAGAACCCCAAUGUUAUCAAUAUAUACUCUCUCGUCAAAAGACCCAGAUGGAGUACUUAUUUUCUCCCGUUUGGCCAACUUCAUGUCUUGGUGUUGAACGAGUGUGAAAAGCAUUCCCAAAUGUACAAGGUCGCAUAAUCCUGUCCAAUCUGCCGGUAAAAACUGGCCAUAACAGCAUUCCCCCACACAACCACCAGAUGUCAGCCCUGGCCCACUUUACCUUAUUGAAAUCCCCAGAGUUCAACCAGCCUGUCAAAUCAGACAUGGUCUCGACAGUGUUAAUAUUCUCUGUCCUAUUGCAGGUACUAACUUCCCCUACAUAUUUCCCAUGAGUACUGUACCGGGCCAAACAGUAAUAAUCUCCUCCGGUCACUGUAAAGGGAGGAAGUCUUGAUUUAAAGGGAAUCUGUGGAUAUAAAUAGUGCAAAUCAAUACAACUGUCAUUAUCUGGCAUUCUUGCUUUCGUGAACAGCUUUACCAUACAGGCCAUUCCCCUGGGUGAAUCAAUUCCAUCAAAUGGAGAGGGGAUGGUUGUCAGCUGAGGUUUGGCUGUGGCGCAGGCAUAACAUUUUUCUUUAGCUACUGGUCUGGCUGUAUAGUGGAUCCAUUCUAACCAAAGAUUAGAAUCCCCAUAACCAGUUUCUACCUCGAUCACUUCCUUCAGAUCUUUCGUCUUCACUAUCUUCACCGGCCCUUGGCUCUGGACUAAUCUGCUGUCAGUGUCUGUUGUGUCAGGUGCUCUGUAUUCCUGCUGACGAUAGAGUUACCACCUGGCCUAACCUCCUAUACCCGGACCCGUACUAGGGUGUCGACCAAAAACUGGUCAAAUCCAACAUACCAUAACCCUAGAUCCUCUUUCAUUACUGUUUAAAGGGUAAGCCGUAUCUUUAUGCAAUACAUCCCUCUCUCCGGAUUACAGUCAAAAACUCUCACCUUCACUAUACUCCACCUCCUUCCAUACUGGGUGAGUGGAUUCAUAUAGCCCUCUGAGCUAUGACCUGUGUCCACGACCAACAUGGGGACCUGCACCAAUAUAUACCAUAAUGGCUCAGAGUCCUAGACUGCCAUGUAGUUAGAGACCCCUUUUGGUCUACAUAAAACUCCAUUGAGACAUCCUUACCAACCUCUACUCUAACUUCCUAUCUACCCAGAUCUAGGGAUCUCCUAUGCUUGUUUGGAACAAAAUCCUCAUCGUCUAAACCAUGGGUCAAAUUACCACUCUCCGCAUACUCAGGUGGGACGUGCUGUAUCAGGAAUAUGGCACCUACGAUAAGACAGCUCAGACCAAACAGCACUCCGAUGAAGCCCCACCCUUUUCCCGGAAAACAUAUCAUCAGCAAGAGGCGACACACUUUCACUUCUAUGAACGCUCACAGCUGGGGAAAAGUUAGGUAUAAGGGAAUCUUCAGUAAGUUUUGUAAAUAAACAAGAUUUUUUUCUUAAAAAGAAAGACAAAAGACUGUAGAUUCUCUCACUGAGUUUGAUCUUCCCACAUGUGUCACCAGUCACCGUACCCUAAAGGUUGCGGUUCCCUUCCUACCUCUGUGAUUGUUCGACAGUGUCAGGGUGUCCUACCCUCCUACAAUGUGUGAUAUGCACCCCGGGAGCUCUUUCGGCUAUCCUCACCGUGAAGGCAGUCACCAGGAGUACUUGGUAUGGCCCCUCCCCACCGUGCUGCUUCCCGUCUAUCCUCACCGCGAAGGCAGUCACCAGGAGUACUUGGUAUGGCCCCUCCCCACCGUGCUGCUUCCCAUCUUUCCUCACCGCGUAGGCAGUCACCAGGAGUACUUGGUAUGGCCCCGCCCACCGUGCUGCUUCCCGUCUAUCCUCCUCGCGUAGGCAGUCACCAGGAGUUCUUGGUAUGGCCCCUCCCCACCGUGCUGCUUCCCGUCUAUCCUCACCGCGCAGGCAGUCACCAGGAGUACUUGGUAAGGCCCCGCCCACCGUGCUGCUUCCCGUCUAUCCUCCUCGCGAAGGCAGUCACCAGGAGUACUUGGUAAGGCCCCGCCCACCGUGCUGCUUCCCGUCUAUCCUCCUCGCGAAGGCAGUCACCAGGAGUACUUGGUAUGGCCCCGCCCACCGUGCUGCUUCCCGUCUAUCCUCACCGCGAAGUCAGUCACCAGGAGUACUUGGUAUGGCCCCGCCCACCGUGCUGCUUCCCGUCUAUGCUCCUCACGUAGGCAGUCACCAGGAGUACUUGGUAUGGCCCCGCCCACCGUGCUGCUUCCCUUCUACCCUCCUCGCGUAGGCAGUCACCAGGAGUACUUGGUAUGGCCCCGCCCACCGUGCUGCUUCCCGUCUAAUCUCCUGCGUAGACAGUCACCAGGAGUACUUGGUAUGGCCCCUCCCCACCGUGCUGCUUCCCGCCUAUCCUCCUCACGUAGGCAGUCACCAGGAGUACUUGGUAUGGCCCCGCCCACCGUGCUGCUUCCCGUCUAUCCUCACCGCGUAGACAGUCACCAGGAGUACUUGGUAUGGCCCCGCCCACCGUGCUGCUUCCCAUCUAUCCUCACCGCGUAGACAGUCACCAGGAGUACUUGGUAUGGCCCCGCCCACCGUGCUGCUUCCCGUCUAUCCUCACCGCGUAGACAGUCACCAGGAGUACUUCGUAUGGCCCCGCCCACCGUGCUGCUUCCCGUCUAUCCUCCUCGCGUAGGCAGUCACCGGGAGUACUUGGUAUGGCCCCACCCACCGUGCUGCUUCCCGUCUAUCCUCCUCGCGAAGGCAGUCACCAGGAGUACUUGGUAUGGCCCCACCCACCGUGCUGCUUCCCUUCUAUUCUCCUCGCGAAGGCAGUCACCAGGAGUACUUGGUAUGGCCCCUCCCCACCGUGCUGCUUCCCUUCUAUUCUCCUCGCGAAGGCAGUCACCAGGAGUACUUGGUAUGGCCCCUCCCCACCGUGCUGCUUCCCGUCUAUCCUCCUCGCGUAGGCAGUCACCAGGAGUACUUGGUAUGGCCCCUCCCCACCGUGCUGCUUCCCGUCUAUCCUCCUCACGUAGGCAGUCACCAGGAGUACUUGGUAUGGCCCCGCCCACUGUGCUGCUUCCCUUCUAUUCUCCUCGGGGACUGGGUUGAGUGAAUCACCUUAUCCUGUAGUUCACCUGUAGUGCAUAAAUCUCGGACAUACAGGUUUGGUUAACAAACAGUUUCUCAUUUGUUCUAUCUGAUUAUAUCUUUAACUUCUAUGCCUACUUAUUAGCUACAUUUUUUUAUUAUUAUCCAAUAGGCCACUAAGUGUCCUAUCCUAGACCACAACUUACCCAUCCCCCUUUUGAUAUCUGGCUCUGCCCAGGUAACAACCUUAUCUACUCUAAAUAAUGACUUAGGUAAGAUUAGUAAAUUAUCCUUAUGUUCUGACAUUAUCAUGUAUGUCCAAUUCUCCCUUUGGCGCCCAUUCAUAUUUAUCCUGUACCAAUUCUCUGUCAAGUGGCUUAUCUACUUUUAAAAGGUAUCUGUGUUCAUUUCCUCUCUGCUCUGUAACAACUAUAUGUUGCUUCCAAAUUUUAACUAAAUGUCUCACUGUUUGGCUUUAUCUAAACUCAUUGAUUUAAAAAGAAAAAGAAAAACAUGUCUAUGGUGUCAAUUUCUAAAGUCCUUAUACAGGUUAAUUAAGGUUCUUGAUCCUAUCCCUAAUCCUGAAUCACCACAGAUGUCAUAUAUCCCUGUCAAACUUUAAUACUAUUUAAAUAAAAAUAAAUAUUUUUAAAUAAAAAUAUUCUAAUAUUCUAAUAUUAAUUAAAGCCAAAACGAAUGCUAACCAUAUCCUAUCUCUUUCCUGUGUUAAUGAAAUCUCCCCUUCGGGAAUCCACUGUAUUUUAUCUAAAAAUAACGAGUUAAACUUAAAAAUCAGUCACAUCAAUAAUUUAAUAUAUGUUGCCUAGUUUGAGAUACCUUAUCUACCGUAAUUUACCAUCCCUAAGAACUGCAACUUAUUUUCAUAAAUAAUUUUAAUACUUAUAAAAUCGCCUUUUCUAUCAUGUGUUUUCCUGCCCUAUUGGCUUAAUAACGGUGUUCUGUCCAAACCUCAAAAGGACCAUCUUCCGCCAUUUAUUAUCGAUGAUUAAUAUGAUUUCUGUUCCUGUUGCAGUACUAAAAACUCCAUUAUAAUACAUUUACUUUAAAAACCAGUAUCACCCAUGACUACAAAUUCAUUAUUCAAAUGGCUCCCCCCUGUGGCUGAUCAGACCAACUGGGAGAGCCAUGGAAACUUGGUCAAAGGUUACACCACCCCUUUACAUUCGUGUUCCAUACCAUAUUAGACAUAUUAAAGAACCCUUUAUCUUUAAAAAAAAAUGUAUUCACUUGUCUAAUUAAAACUCAGAAAAUAAAACUCCUAAUAUUCCAUAUGUGAGUGUACCCCUUUAAGAUAUCUUGUCUCUGGGAACAGGGAAAUCUCCUUAACGUAAACAUUUACUACAAAAACAAAACCUUAUUGUCACGCCCUGGUCUAAGUAUUUUGUGUUUUUCUUCAUGUAUUGGGUCAGGCCAGGGUGUGGCAUGGGGUUUUUGUAUUGUGGUGUGUUUUGUCUUGGGGUUUUGGUGUGUGUGUAUUGGGAUUGUAGCUAGUGGAGUUAUCUAGCAAGGUCUAUGGCUGUCUGGAGUGGUUCUCAAUCAGAGGCAGGUGUUUAUCGUUGUCUCUGAUUGGGAACCAUAUUUAGGCAGCCAUAUUCUUUGAGUUUGUCGUGGGUGAUUGUCCUUAGUGUCCUUGUUCCAGUCUAUGUGUUAGGUUACACAAGUAUAGGCUGUUUCGGUUUUCGUUUCGUUAUUUACAUUCUUUGUUUUGUAGUGUUUGUGUUACUUCGUGUUUAUGUUAUUCAUUAAACAUGGAUCGCAAUCUACACGCUGCAUUUUGGUCCGACUCUCCUUCACACCUAGAAAACCAUUACAGAAUCACCCACCACCAACGGACCAAGCAGCGUGUCAACAGGCAGGAGCAGCAGGAGAGGCAACAGGUGCAGCAGGAGAGGAGGCAACAGGAGCAGCCCAAAGAGGAGUACAGUAUGGACUAUACUUCUUGGGAGGAGAUAGACAGGUGGGCGGUCGACCCAGGGAGAGUGCCGGAGCCCGCCUGGGAUUCGAUGGAGCAGUGCGCGGAAGGUUAUCGGAGAAUGAGGUUGGCGAAGCAAGCACGGCGGCGCGGACGGAAGCCCGAGAGUCAGACCCAAAAAUUUCUUGGGGGCUCACAGGGAGUAUGGCUAUGCCAGGUAGGAGACCUGUGCAAACUUCCUGCGGUUACCGGGGGGCUAGAGAGACCGGGCAGGCACCGUGUUAUGCAGUGGUGCGCAUGGUGUCCCCAGUGCGGGUGCAUAGCCCGGUGCGAUAUAUUCCAGCUCCUGGUAUCGGCCGGGCUAGAGUGGGCAUCGAGCCAGGUAAGGUUGGGCAGGCUCGGUGCUCAAGAGCUCCAGUGCGCCUGCACGGUCCGGUCUAUCCAGUACCACCUCCACACCCCAGCCCUCCGGUAGCAGCUCCCCGCACCAGGCUUCCUGUGCGUGUCCUCGGUUCAGUACCACCAGUACCAGCACCAUGCAUCAGGCCUACAGUGCGCCUCGCCUCUCCAGCGCUGCCGGAGCCUUUCUCCUCUCCUGCGCUGUCGGAGUCUCCUGUCUGUUCAGCGCUGCCAGAGCCUUCCUCCUCUACAGCGCUGCUGGAUUCUCCUGCCUGUUCAGCGCAGCCAGAGCUGCCAGCCUGCAUGGAGCUGCCAGGCUGCAUGGAGCAGCCAGAGCUGCCAGGCUGC